This 517-nucleotide long non-coding RNA is filed under the name Androctonus crassicauda. The record is from RNAcentral. Lineage: Eukaryota; Metazoa; Arthropoda; Arachnida; Scorpiones; Buthidae.
AUAAAAUGAGCAUAUAAAACAGUAGAUUUAAUAAAACUGAGAGGGUAUCCUGAUUUACUGUAAUCUGUUACUUUUCCGGAAGAAAAGUAAUUGACGUGUAAGAAAUGUCGGGGACACGAAUCGGACACGUGAAGAGUCACGCCACUUGUGCGUCAGUACCAUUUUAAUUUUCCUCCUGGAAACAGCAAGGACAUUGAUUUGAGUUUCUAACCAAGAAAGUAACAUGAGUGCUGCACAAGUAGCCAGUAAAGAUCCUGUGAGGGAUAUUCCUCAGAUCAUCUUAACUAAUACUGCGGAAGAUGAAGAUAUUCAAAAUGAAAGAGAAAAACCUCACUUCACCAUAGACAAUGACGAAGAUUCUUCAGAAUGUGGAGCCACUUUAUCCACUGCUUAUCUUCUGGAUAGCAAUCAGAUAUCUAACAUCGCAUACAGGACUAAAAUGAAACCAAGAACCUUCAGACAGUCUAUGUCAGGUGUGCAUUUAAUGCAACAAGAAAAGGAUGCAUUUAGGUUAGAU